AACGCAUCUUGCGCCCUUUGGUAUUCCGAAGGGCAUGCCUGUUUGAGUGUCAUGAAAAUCUCAUCCCAUCGGGUUUCCGAUGACGAUGGACUUGGGUGUUGCCGUCCGGCUCGCCUUAAAGGAGUUAGCGGUUCUUAGGUUGAAUCUGGCGUAAUAAGUUUCGUCGGUGGAUAUCGAAGGCUGCUCAUAACCCGUCUUCUGACAUCUUUUGCUCUGACCUCAAAUCAGGUAGGACUACCCGCUGAACUUAA
RNAcentral lists this unclassified non-coding RNA (251 nucleotides) under uncultured fungus. Its description in RNAcentral is "partial contains 5.8S ribosomal RNA, internal transcribed spacer 2, and large subunit ribosomal RNA". The stretch from base 1 to 52 matches the Rfam family "5.8S ribosomal RNA", at positions 103 to 154 of the family's 154-position model. Lineage: Eukaryota; Fungi. RNAcentral also lists the same sequence under 1 other name. The record is from RNAcentral.